Non-coding RNA from Paramuricea clavata, 1028 nucleotides. The record is from the annotation of a GenBank genome assembly. Lineage: Eukaryota; Metazoa; Cnidaria; Anthozoa; Malacalcyonacea; Plexauridae.
CGCACAAUUUGUAAGAAAUUCCAUGUUUUUAAAACAUUAAGUUAAUGGUGCAUUUUGGUAUAAACAUGUGGUAAGCAUAAAAAAAACCGGUAACCUGAACUUGCAGUACGCAAUACAGAUCUAAACCAGAGAAGUGAAAGAACACCUGAAAAUUCCUACUUAUAGAAUAGAUAAUAAUACUGUAUAGUCCGUAGUAAAUUUGAUACAAUUAAUUGCUAUAAUUGUUUUAUGAGCACUUGGAAGAUACUCUAUAUUAUAUAUGCAUGUAUAUCAUAAGUCUAUAUACUGACGUAACUGGACACGAUUAAGGUUAUAUUCAUUGGUAUUGUCUCCAUAUUGAGUGCGAAUGGGCGAAGAUUCUAAUUGCUGCUGGAAAGAACAUUGACCCUGAGAUGUAUCCCAAACUUAUUCAAGGUGAUCGCCAUAUCAAAGACCUUGCCAGUUGGUACUGCAACCGUGGAAAGAAGCUUCAUGCAGUGUUAUGAAUCGGAUAUUGAGCUGGGCUCGUAAUGAAUACAAAUCGUUUCGCCCCCCACGUCAAUUUGCCCCAAGUCGUCACCGACUUUGUCAAACCUUUUCACGCUUUUGUUUUUGUUUGAAAUGUCAGCUUUGGCUUUGACAAGUUUGAAGCGUGCAUGCAUUAGCGUUGGCCAGUGACUUUAUGUUGCUAUCCAUGUAUAAAGACCUGUUAAAAAGGAUAAACUUGGACAAAGUGCUUGAUCGAUGGGUAAAUCAAAAAUCCUGAAUAGUACAGUUUAAGUAAAGACUUGGAGUGUAGCUAGCGCUUAAAACUAAUUUAAUCUGACUUUUUUCAGAAUGCAUAACACUCAAUGUGUGACUUGUGAGAUCAUAAAUUUAGAAUACUUUAGCUUGUUUUUAGCUUGUUUCUAUUAAAACUUGCCAUUUUGUUGCUGUUGUUAUUGUAACAAAUAGUGCUUCCUUAUAUUGUGCUUUCAUUUUUCAAAAUGAAUUAUGAAAUCUAGCUAAAAUAUAAUUUUAGUAAAAUUUAUUUUUUUUUUGGGGGGGGG